Molecule: long non-coding RNA, 2584 nt
Organism: Brassica rapa (field mustard)
Lineage: Eukaryota; Viridiplantae; Streptophyta; Magnoliopsida; Brassicales; Brassicaceae
Source: RefSeq, a predicted model, not a curated record
AUAUCUUAUAUUGUUGACUAGAGUCUAGGGGUGGACAAAACACCGAACCGAAUCAAAUCGAACCAACCGAACCGAACCAAAGUCUAUUUCAAACCAUUCGGUUGAAGAUUUCUCCAACCCGAAUGGUUCGGUUUAAAACCGAACCGAAAAACCAAUGUGUUUUUGUAAUUAUUUAAAUUAAAAAUAUUAGUAAUACUAAUAUACUAAAAUUAUAAUACCAAACCACAUAUUUUCCAUUUUCAUUCACUAACAUAUAUUGUUCUAAUCUAAUAUGUAAUCAUCAAAAAAAUUGAUUAAAAAAAUUAGAAAAUCUGUAUUUUUAUUCUUAUAUAUGUAAACGUGGAUGUUAAAUCUAAACCUAAAACUUAAAGCAAAUUUUAUUAAAAACAAAAAAUUUUCUCCAUAGCGUCACAUGAAAGAUGAUUCAUUGCAGAUUUUUUAACAAUGAUAUAAGAAACAUUACUAGUGAUGUUGAUUUUUUUUAUUUUAGUUAACUUUCAUUUGUUUUAAUUUUUUAUAUACAUUUUAUGAUUUUUUAAAGGUUUUUGUUUCAGUUUUAUAUUGAAUUUAAUUCACAUAGUUUAUAUUUACAUAAUUUAUGUUUUAAAAAUUUUUUUUACAAAAAAUGAAACUAAGAAGAACCUAAUUAAACCGAUCCAAAAAAACAAAGCGAACCGAACUGAACACAAACCGAACCGAAUAUGAACCGUACACAAACCGAACCAAAAAAAUAUGUAAUUAAUAGCUCCAUGUACAUGUUCUAAUUUCUGGAUAAAAUUUCAAACAUCUAUACUAUACUAAAAGCAGCAUAUACUCCACUCUAAAGCUAUCCACAUCAGCAAAAAAAUUCAACCAAUUAAAUGUUUCUAUUUUGCCACGUUACAUCUUCUUUAUCGACAUGGAUCAAAUGUUUUGGUCUUCUAAAAUUUGGUUUCAGCCCAUUUAAAAACCAUGUUACACUUUCCGACAAAACCCACGCUUUCCCUUUUCAGUCAAUAGUCUCUUACGAUUCCUCUUCGUAGCCAUUGUUCUAUUCUUUCCGAAUCUCCGUUACUUGCAGUAACUAUCCACUCUAAAAUCAUUGCUUUUGCUCUUUACACCUUCUUACAAGAUGUAUCUUUCACCUCCUUUUGUUUUCCUCCUGUAUGAUCUAUUUCUCGAUUCUUAUUGUAUACCGUAAUCUACGAUUUUUUCAGUCGAAGAUCAAGCUGUAUCCAUGAGAUCUGCUAAGUCCUCCGGAAAGUUUUAUGUCGCUGUGUAUUUCACCAACAUCUCCUCGGGUACAGCGGAAUCUGAACUAGGCUUCCAGUUAAUCCGUUUCUGGGAGACGAUAAGCACAGCUAAAGGUGGUUUGCUUAUUGGCUUGGAGCUUCUCCUUACAGGCAAGCAGAAAUGGCUACGCACAACUCGAAAUCUACCGCAUCAAUAUUUUUCUCCCGUUCUUAGUGGUUUGUAAAUUUGUCGUUUCAUCGCUCCAAUGUCACAAAGAAACUUAAUAAUCAUCUGGAUGCCUGGAAAAAUUGACUUGAUCACAGCUGUUUUUUUUUAAAGAAGAUAACUGUUGCAGCUAUGUCCAAACCGCAGCUGCGAAUAGUGGAAUCUGAAGUUUGUGUCCUGGAAAGCCUCUGGCAGCUGAAACUGGGGUAAAAUUCUGUAUUCUUUUAUCUUUAACUUGGAUGGGAGGUAUUAUUUUGUUGUUCAAAGAGUUGAAUCCAAACAGCCUUUAGGAGAAGAAGCAAAAAUUUACCUGAGAAAAGUUAUACAAGAGCUUUAUGUGUAGGUUUUUUUCUUAAAUACGUAGGUGAAACUCUGAACACCUUGCUCCUGCAAAAAGUCGCAUUUGAAUAUGUAAGUUGUGUACGCCUUGGUCCUGUUUAGUCUUUGCAUGUUUAAGAAAUUCAAACUGGCUUGAAGUUGACUGUUUACAGUCUCUUUAACCGCUGUAGUUAGUGUGAAGGUUUGUUGCUGAGUUUAUUGCAUAGAUCCAUUUUCAUGUGUGGAUUGUUUCAACAAACCAUCAUUAAGACUCUGUCUUGGCUACCCGCAAAUAGAUUGAGAAUUCACUUACAAACUCAAAGGAACAGCAAUGCUCUCUAUUCAGAGAUCAUGUUGAGAGAUCCCAGAGCUUUUUACACAGAUUUCUAUCAUGCUCGCUGGAACUGGAAGCACUGCUCUUUUCACUGUGAUUUGUAGCUUUGCUUCAAGGCGUGUACCCUUUUGCGCAAACAAGUUCUUCAAGACUGUACUUGGUUUCAGUUUGGUCAUACUGCUUUGGGCUGUGGAUAGACUCGGGAGGUGAUUACUUAGCGCAUACUUCUUCCAUGGGAAGACAUUCUGAUGUUUGAUUGUGUUCUUGCGAUCAAUGAGCCUUACUUAAUCAGCAGCUCCUGCUGGUUGUGGCUUCUAAGUUGGCAACAAGAACAAGAGUAAUCUCAGAGGAAGCAAAAGCCACGACCAAGUACUUUAUAUUCUUAUAAGAAACAUCUUUGCUCCUAUGUAAACUAUAUAUGUUUCUCCAAUGACAUGAAGAAUAUAUAAAUUGGUUUUUGUUUGUGUGAUCAGGAACAAACAAAAAUUUUGAAUA